Molecule: long non-coding RNA, 7652 nt
Organism: Eriocheir sinensis (Chinese mitten crab)
Lineage: Eukaryota; Metazoa; Arthropoda; Malacostraca; Decapoda; Varunidae
Exons: 2
Source: RefSeq, a predicted model, not a curated record
GGGAGGGGAGAGGCCGAGGGGAGAGGCCGAGGGGAAGAGUCGAGCGCCGGCCCCCUCCCUUUCCCUCACAAUUGGCAGUAACGAGGGGAAUGAGGGGACGAGGUACAUAUAGCGAGACAGGGCAGGAGACAGGCCAGUUGUGAGUGAGGAGGAGGUAGCAAAGGGCUCCUCCUGCUGCCGUGCGCGGAGGAGGAGGAGGAGGAGGAGAUCUGGAGAACGAGGGCACCGCAAGAAGUUAACAAGGAAGAGAAGAUAAGGAGGAAGAGGAAGAGGAAAAGGAAGAAGAGGAGUACAAGAAGAUCCGGAAAACGAGAACAUAGCAAGAAGUUGACACGUACAAAGAGAGGAAGAGAUUAAGAAAGGACAACUGAAGAGGAAGAGGAAGAGGAGGAGCACAAGACCAACAAAACGAGAACAAAACAAGGAAAAGUUGAGAAGAUUUGAAGAAGAUAAAAGAAAAUAAGGACACUGGAAAAGAAGAGAAAAGAAGAAGAGGAGAAAGAAGAGGAAGAAGAGUUUUAAAAUAUCAAGAAGACUUUUAAACGAAGGCAACGCAAGAGAGAAAAAGUUAAGAAGAAUAAUCAAGAGAGAUGGAAAGAGACAAAACGUGCAACCAAGUAGAAGAGGAAGAGAGAGAAGAGACGAAGGAGGAGGAGGAAGAAGAAGAGGAGGUAAAAGUUUGCUCGUUGAGGUUACUGAAGAGCCGUGAGAAGCGAAAAUAGUUGUGGAAGGAAAACGGAGAAGGAGAAUAACGAAUGAAGGACGCAGAGAUAAAACAAGAAACGAAGAAGAAAAAAGAAGAUGAAGGGAAGAAAGAGAACUGACAUACCCAAGAAAAAGAAUGGAAAUGAAGACAAAGAAGAAAGAAGAAUGAGAAGCGGACAAAACAAAGAAGAAUGGGAAUGAAGUUAAAUGAAAUGAAACAAAAGACGAACGAAGAGAAGAGACAAGGAUGAAGAAGAGAUGGAAGAGAAUAACGUAAUAAUAUGAGGAAAGCCUGAAAGGAGAAGAAGAAGAAGAAAGAGAAAAAGAAAGAAGAAGAAGAAGAAGAAGACGAUGAUUGAAAACAGUUCCUAUCGAAAACUUUUUAACAAGGAAAUUCGAGAAGGAGGAAAGAAGAAGAAGAAGAAGAAGAAGAAGAAGAAGAAGAGGAGACUUUGUAAAAUGUUUGAAGAUGUAAGAGGAGAAGAGGUGAGAAGAACCAGAUCCUCCUCCUCCUCCUUCCUCCUCCUCUCCAUCCUCCUCCUCCUCCACAUCAUAACCAAGGAGACCAUUACUUCCAUACCCUCCUCCUCCUACUCCUCCUCCUCCUCCACCACCUCCUCCUCCUCCUCCUCCUCUUCCUCCUCCACCACCACCAGCACCACUUCCGGAAAACAAAGCGGUGAGAAGAAGAAAAAAAAGUUGAGAAAAAGGGAAGAAAAAAAGAAGAAAGACAUAAAAGUUGGAGAAGAAGCAAAGAGAAAGACGACCCAAGAAGAAAGAAGAAGAAGAAGAAGAAGAAGAAGAAGAAGAAGAAGAAGAGGAAGAAGAGAGGGGAAAGCGAAGAGAGAAAAAAGAAAGGAAUGACAACAACGCGAUUUAACUCAGAAGCAGCAGAGGAAGAAGACGAAGCAGUACGAGAAGGACGGGACAACACUUCUUGGUCAACUCACCUGCUGAAGAAAAGAGAUCAAAGCUAAUCUUGACAAUGAAAAGAAAAACACGUAUAAGAAAAAAAAUCAAAGUAUAAAACGAUGACAAUAUUAAAGUCUCAUAAACCCACGACUCCUUUGCACAACAACAGUAUAUAGUUUUGUAAGUAAACAAUAAAUAAACACGUAUAUAUUUAUGUAUUACGAACUCUAUGGAAAAUGUACAUGGAAGAGAAGUAAAGCCACGAUAAUACCAAAAUUUACCCCAUAAACACACGACUAUUUUGCAUAACAACAGAAUAUAGUUUUGUAAGUAGUGAAAAUAUAAACACGUAUAUAUUUAUGCAUCAUCAACUCAUUAAUAACAUACGAGAAAAAAAAUGUAUGUAUGCAAUCUUUCAAUCACCAAGAGAGGCUCAUUAAACACACCCACAUUAUGUAUCAGAUCAAGUAUACAUCGCCUUUCCAUGCCUAAGAAAGAUGUAUAUUUAUGUAUUGCCAAGUCUUUUACUCCUUGACGCUACAAGUUAGCUUUUCUUCGUAAUGGCAGCAGGCUACGUGCAUUUUUUGUUUACCAUCUGGUGCAUAAAUUUUCGUGUAUUCCUUUAUUACGAAAAUGUUCAAGACCUACAUUUAUGUGCAGCUUUUCUGGGCUUUCUUUGAAAGGGCAGCAUAUUCUUUUUUUUUUCUCUUCUUUAAGCACUGGUCUGCCUUCCUUCAAUUUAAAUUUAUUUCUCAUUUGCCAAAGCUUUUUAUUUGAUUAUGUUUAGCCCUUGGUCUGCCUCCUUUCAAUUUAACUUCAUUUUUCACUUGGAAAAGCAUACAUAUAGAUAAAUAACUUGGUAUGGAUAACACAUGAAAGGAUAUAUAUUUUUACGAACAAUUAUUUUUACUGUUGUCAACCUUUUACCGUGAGAAAAAAUUAAGUGAGCUGUGUGUGUGUGUGUGUCUGUCUGUGUGUGUGUGUGUGUGUGUGUGUGUGUAUGUGUGCGCGCGCGCAUGGUUCAGAUGUUCUAAGUUGCCUCGUUCACGUGCUCGAGGCCGUGAGUCGAGGUGUGUUGUUUGUGUUGCUUUGUUUUGCUUGUCUUGUGAGGGUUAAGAAGCCCCGUGGCAGCUUAAGGCUUGGAGUUAUCUCGUGUUGCCCGUCUGUCUGUCUGUCUAUCUGUCUGUCUGUUUACCUGCGACUUAUUUCUCUACCGCAAGCUUGAUUCACUUCCUCGUUUCUCUGUCUUGUUUUUUUCUAUCUUGUUUUUUGUCCUUUUCCGUUUCCUGCCUUGCUUUUCCGUCUCUCGUCUCUCUCGUCUCUCGUCUCUCUCUCUCUCUCUCUCUCUCUCUCAUCGGUGUACCUUUCCCGUGUAAUUGGCGGCCGCUGUGCCUUCAAAGUAUCAAUGGUGCUCUUAUCGCUUAAGUUACGUGUCGCUCUUGAUUUGUCCCUGAGCCUCUGUCUGUCUGUCUGUCUGUCUGUCUGUUGGGUUGGAAGGGAGCAUGACAAUCUACUCCCUUACACCCUGGUCUUUGUUUUUGUUACCUUCCAUUUAUUAUUAUUUUUGUAUCAGUAUUUGCACCCUAUUCUUUGUUUCCGUUACUUCCCAUUAUUUUUGGUUUCCGUAAAUUUCCCUCCGUCUUUCGUUUUGAUUUUAACAGCACAUACUUUGUUUCCGUUACAUUCCAUUUAUUUUUUCGUUUCGUUUCCAUUUUAAAACACUAUUAUUUGUCUCCAUUUUGCUUGUUUUUUUACACCUUUUAAUCUUCCCUUUAUUUUUCGUCAAUUUUUAUCAGUCUAUCAUUUUCUUCUGUUACCUUUUCAUUAUUUUAUUGGUUUCAGUUUUAACACAGUAUAUAACGUUUCCAUUGGACUUCCUUUUAUUUAACACCAACUCACCCUCCCUUUUGUCCCCCUCCUCAAUAUUUCCUCUUCUUUCUCUCUUAUAAUUUUCUUCUCUGUAUUACUAUCCUUCAUACUUAUCACCUCUCUAUAAUGUAUCUUCUGCCCCCUUCUUUUUUUAUUUUACUCCUUUUCCAUUGUUAUCUUUUCCCUUCCUCGUUAUCCGUCUUCUAGUGUCAUUUUUUUAAUUUUCUUUCUCUUUUCGUUAUUUUCCUCCUUAACUUUUUUUUUUUUUAUCUCCAGAGGUUUAGGGAUGUCAUGUCCUGGUUUAAUUGCUUUUACGUUCGCUCGCUUGUGACUGGUUACCGUGCAUGUCUCCGUCACUCUCCUCGUUGUAUGUGCUUUUCGUUUUUCCUUUGUUUUGCGUAGUCUGCUUUGCUUAUUCAUCGAGUUUCGUUGCGAUUUAGUUGUAAUAUAAUUUUGCUCUUCUUUUUAUUUGGUUGACUUCUCAUUUGGUGAUUUUUAUUCAUUUUUUUUGAUAACUCAGUAUAGUCAAUAUAUUUCUUUUGAGGAGUUAUGAUCUAUUAUUACUACAAUUGUGCAUUUAUUAUUUCCAAUCAUCUAUUAUAUCGAAGUUAUUAUGUAAAAGUCGACUGUGUGCAUGAAAGAUGUAUAUUUUCUUUUAGUCUUAUUAUUAUUAUUAUUAUUAUUAUUAUUAUUAUUAUUAUUAUUAUUAUUAUUAUUUGCCUACAUACACACGACAUAAACAACAACAAAAACAAACAGGGACCAAAUCUUUUUAAACUUCUAACGUAAAGCCAAAAAUAAAUAUACAAACAAACAAAUAUAUAAAAGUCUUAAUUUCUACACGACACAAAAGACAAACAAACAAAUUAAUCCAACAAAUACAAAUACCCUAAAUUAACUAACAUAAUAAUCCUAAAUAAUUAGACGAAAACAACAGGAACGCGACAGAAGCUUCCUAAUCCAGUCUUCCAUUAAGUUUAGUUGCUUACUUAAAACACUACGCGACAGACUGCUUAGCUUCUUUUGCUUUGAAUUGGCUCGUUUAUUUGCACGCUCCGCCGCUAUAGCUUUUUGCUCGCUUGUUUGGCCUCAAUUCGUACCUGUUUUAGCUUUGUAGUGUAUCGCUUUGGGUGUUUGCUAGCUUGCUUGGCACUUGCUUGUACCUGUUUUAGCUUCGUAGUGCCUUGUCUCUUUUUGCUUGCUCUCUUUGCACUGGCUUGUAUCUGUUUUAGCUUUGUAUUGUGUAUCCUGUUAUCCUUUUGCUUGCUUGUUGUCCUUUGUUUGUACCUGUUUUAGCUUCGUGGUGUCCUGUAUCCUUGUUCGCUUGGUGGCUUUUGUUUGUACCUGUUUUAGCUUCGUGGUGUCCUGUAUCCUUGUUCGCUUGGUGGCUUUUGUUUGUACCUGUUUUAGCCUCGUAGCGUAUCGUGUUAGCCUUUCCCUUGUUUUGCUGACACUUGUUUGUACCUGUUUUAGCUUCGUAGUGUUGUGUAACCUCUUAGCCUUCUUUGCCUCUCUUCCUGGUACGUCCUACGCCUGAAUCACUGACAUAUCUUAGUUGUUAGUUGUAGAAGUAGAAGCAUUUGUAAUCCAGAGUAAUGCUAAUGUUGCUUUUUACUUUGUUCUCGCUACGUACAGUUGCGUAUAAAUGCGUAAGAAGAAAAAGUGCACGAGAUUUAGUUUUUCUUUUCUGUUACUUUUUUCGUUUCCGUUAUUAUUAUUUUUUUUAGGUAUUCGGGGCCGUAAUUUCUGGAGGGUCUAGGAGGGCUAUAGCACCCCAAAUGUUUUCUAUAUCGGCCUUAAAAUGCCAAUAAAGUCCUUAUUUAAAAAAAAAAAAAAAAUCCCCCCCUUCACAAGCUCGGAUGCCCUCUAGACUCCACCCAAAAUCUGUCGAAAUCACGGGCCUCGGUAUCAUUUCGAUCAUGAUUAAAAAGAUGUUUGUGCUCUUAGUGGCUUUUAAUUCAUGCACUUUCGCUUUCUUCGUGUUUGUGUCGGUAUACUUCUGACCAUGAGAAAAAAAAAUGUAUCCGUGUUUUUAUUUUUUGUCUUUUCUUUCUCGUAGUAUUUUCUUUAAGCAUAUCGAAAAUGACAAAAAAAAAAUGUCCUUCCGCUUUUAAGUUUCUUUUAUCAGUUUUCAUAUUUUUAUUUUCUUGGUGCGUGUUUGUGUUUUCUAAAUUUUGUUCCUCUUUAAUUCUUUUCAUUAGUAUAUAUAUAUUUUAGGCACCGGCUCGCUAGUGCCUCUGCUGCCCAGUGUGCUAAAUAAACCGCUUCGUCUCUAUAGUUUUAACCAUUAAGAGUUUUAUCAAAGACUUGCCUCGUUUUAAAACCAUGUAAACUUUUUUCUACACGCUGAGUAGAAAGAAGGGAAGAGAACGUGGCUUUUCGUCUAUAAUUUUAAGUUUAGUAUUUUAUCAGAGAUUGGGAGAGUGUCGAGGCUUUUUCAUUACAUAGGACAGCACUUUACGUAUCGGUCAUUCACUCUAGAGCUAGAGAUUGAAUUACAGAUAAGGGGACCGAUCAGUAAAGUGGCGCCAUCUAUGUUUAAGCUUUGAAAGUAUCCCAUUCUCUCCUAUUUGCAAUCGUGUUUAACUCCUGAUUUACAAGUUAUAAAUAAGUUUUGACCAAUGUCUUACUUUAGGUGUUAAGUAGCUUAGCAUUUGACCAACUACAUUGUUCUAAAUGCAAGUUAUUAUUGUCCUUUAAUGUUUAAUCAUAAUAUUGUUUUUAUUUACGUUCAUAGUGAUAUAUAUAAUACUCAGUUUACUUUUUACUCAGUUUACUUUCAGUUAUGUUGAUUUUGUUUUUAUUCUAAUGUUUAUUUGGCAUUUACUUUUACAGAUAGUUACGAUUUUACACACACACACACACACACACACACACACACACACACACACACACACACACACACACACACACGUUAAUACAUAUACACAGCUUUAUUUUGUUACGAUCUGUUAAGUUGCUUUUAUUUCAGAGCUACUUUAAGUUUUUAUUACUAUUCUUUGCAAUAAUUCUGUUUUUCGUUGAAUAUUUUGUUCGAUUUUAUUUUGCCUAUGAUUUCGCUUGGUUUCUUUUCUGUUACUUUACUUUCAUUUCGUAGCAUUUGUUCUGAGAAAACAGUCCACAUAUGGAAAAAUACAAAAAAAAAAAAUAUGGAGGUAAAGAAAAUACCUGCAACGUCUACUUAUCAUUUUUAUCUAUUCAUUUCAACCUCUUAUCUCCUAUCGCUUAGUUUUUGUGGCUUAUUUAUCAACGAACUUUUUGUUAAUCUACUGAUCUUUCUAUUUCUUGACACCGAGUAAUUUAUCUUUCAUUUGAUUCUUUCUAUUCUCUCUUUGUCCUCUCCUGUUUUUCUGAGCCUAAAUUUAUGUUGUUUUCACAUUUUGAUCUUUAUUAAUCUGUAUUUAUCAAUCACCAGUUAUCAUUAUUUUCUCCUAAGGCUUUCAUAAGUUUGUCUGUUUCUCUGUUUGCCACCUUUUCUGUGCUUUUGUUGUCUUUCUGAGCCUAAACUAUUUUCUAUCGGCUACCUAGAUGUUCAUUUAUGUUUAGAAUUAAUUAUGUUCCUCUUACAUAUCAUUCCUCUCUAUCAUUUGUUAUGUUAUUUACCUAUUUUUUUACAAGUCAUUUUUACUGUCAUUUCAUAUCAUAUUUUUUGCCAAUAUAAAUACUAACCACUCUGCCCUUCAUGAAUCUUUUCCAUAAUUUCUCUUAAGUUAUCAUGUAUCUCGUUAUUACUUUAUUAAUGAAAUUUUCUACGUGUCUUCCACUUUCUGAGCCUAAAGUAAUUUUCUUUUGGCUAAAUAUUUACUAAUGUCUUUCAUUAUUUCCCUUUAAUUUUAUUUUCUCCAUUUUCUGAUAUGUUUGCCUAUUUUUUCUUUAUUUUCUACGUGUCUCUCGCUGCUUUCCUGAGCCUGAACUCAUUUCCUUUUGGCUAUCUAAAUAUUUACUCCUUUAUUUCAUCAUUAUUUUCCCUUUCUUCGUAUCUUUUCUCAAAUUUCUCAUAUAUUUGUUUAUUUCCUUGUUUGUUUAUUUUUCUACGUGUCUUUCGCUGCCUUUCCGAGCCUCAAUCAUCCGUGACUCAUGUAAGCUUCGAUGAGUCGCCGUGAGUGUGUGAGGGCGAGUCACCGCCUUACGCACGCCACGAUGAGGAAAUAAAAUGUCUUCUUGAA